This 1769-nucleotide long non-coding RNA is filed under the name Nicotiana benthamiana. Its description in RNAcentral is "long non-coding RNA (NBEN_LNC037138)". The record is from RNAcentral. Lineage: Eukaryota; Viridiplantae; Streptophyta; Magnoliopsida; Solanales; Solanaceae.
CCUCUCUACCCAAGGGUAGGGGUAAGGUCUGCGUACACACUACCCUCCCCAGACCCCACUAAGUGGGAUUAUACUGGGUUGUUAUUGUUGUUGUAUUUACUGGUCGUGGGAUAGUUACCUAAUUCUACUUUCGGGGUGUCUUCUUCCCUUGGUGCAUUUAGUAUUUUUUUACUAAGUUUCAUAUUCAUUUUGCAAUGCAUGUUCCAGCUGAAUCUUUCUUACAGGUCAUUGUCUCUUUAUGCUCUUUGAAUGUCUCUGAAAUUGAUAAAAAGAAUAUUGUAAAUGAUUUGUAUUAAUCAAUCAACCUAUGACGUUACUACCGUACUACUGGAUUUUGUAUUACAAAAGGUGUCAAGUAUUGGAAUUAAACUAACAGAUUCUAGAGACUAAAUAAAAGUAGUCCUGUUAGAACAUUACGCAGAAAGUGAGAGAAGUUCAACAAAUAUAAGAUAAACAAACAUUUACAUAAACGAAUGACUCCUCAAAUUGAAGAGGACUACUAUACAUGUACUGAUGUACACGAUCUCAGGAUUACGCUCAGUGUGUUGUUUCCCUCACUAAUAUGUUCUUCCAUAAAUCCAUUUUUAUGUCAAGCGUAGUAAUAUAUCCUCAUUGAAGGACUUUAAAUUUGAGAUUAUUUCGAGGAUUUGUAAAGUAAAAUUCGUACUUGAAAGGGACCCUUGGAGUAAAUGUAAAGUUGCCUUUGUAUGACCUAUAGGUUGUGGGUUCGAGUUGUGAAAUGAACCAUUGAUACUUGUAUCAGGAUAGGGUGCUUACAUCACACUCCCUUAGGAUGCGGCUUUUCCUCAGACUCUGCAUGAAUGCAAGAUGUUUCGUGCAUCGAGCUGUCCUUUUUUUAGAUGCAAAAUACGUACUUGAUCGAUCACUAAAUCAAAUUUCUGCAAAGUUUAGAACACAGAUGAAUACUACACGGACAAAUAAAUCAAAACAAUUGAAAAGGAUAGAACUACAUAAUUUAGAGUCUUUAUGCAUAUUGAAGCAUUUGUAAAGAAAAGUGAGUAUUCACACGUACAUAAACAAAAGAUAAAUAGCGCAUCAUCUUGUAACUCCGAAGUUAGCAAAAAAGGUACUUUAAUAUAAUUAAAUGUAAAGAAACUUCUGUAUUAACUUUAACUCAUAAACAGUACAACAGAGUGUUUUAGUUCUUUUAACCAAAUCAUAGCUGAGAUCGAAUGAAAGAUGUGUAAAUAUCACAUGCACGGUUGAAGUACUUAGGAUUAUUGAGGACAUGGCCCUUGACAGGGAACUGUGGAGGUCGAGUAUUAAGGUUAUAGGUUAGGGAAAGUUGUUGAUAUUUAUACAAUGCAAUAGAGUGAGACUAGACAGUUAGGACUUAGUCAUAGGAUGUUACUGCUCAGAUACUGACGCAGGGCGUGAUCGGGUAGAUAUUAUUAUACCUUGCAUCCUUUCCGUAUUUUCUUAGAUUUCAUAUAUUGCUGUUAGUUGUGUUACUUUAUGUUAUGUAUAUUAUUUUAUGUUAUUGUAUUAUGAGUUUAUUGAUAGUGCUAAUAUAUCUCCUCUUGUUUCUUUCUUGAGCCGAGGGUCUCCUGGAAACAGCCUCUCUGCCCCUCGGGGUAGGGGUAAGGUCUGCAUAUAUAUUACCCUCCCCAGACCCUACUUGUGAGAUCAUAUUAUGAGUUUAUUGAUAGUACUAAUAUAUCUUCUCUUGUUGCUUUCUUGAGCCGAGGGUCUCCUGGAAACAGCCUCUCUGCCCCUCGGGAUAGAGGUAAGGUCUGCGUACAUAUUAC